UGGACAGAUUAUUGUAUUCGACUGUAUUCACAGCGUGAAACAGCACAUUACACUGUUUUUAAAUGGAAAGUGAAUCAAUUAACAUGAUAGACUCCU
Molecule: microRNA precursor, 96 nt
Filed under: Nicotiana sylvestris (wood tobacco)
Lineage: Eukaryota; Viridiplantae; Streptophyta; Magnoliopsida; Solanales; Solanaceae
Description: MIR6152 microRNA precursor family
Rfam family: MIR6152 microRNA precursor family
Source: Rfam by way of RNAcentral